AGCAGUGUGGCUUAGUGGAAAGAGCCUGGGCUUGGGGGUCUGAGGUCGUGGGUUCUAAUCUCGCUUCUGCCA
Molecule: transfer RNA, 72 nt
Filed under: Ornithorhynchus anatinus (platypus)
Lineage: Eukaryota; Metazoa; Chordata; Mammalia; Monotremata; Ornithorhynchidae
Rfam family: tRNA
About the family: Transfer RNA (tRNA) molecules are approximately 80 nucleotides in length. Their secondary structure includes four short double-helical elements and three loops (D, anti-codon, and T loops). Further hydrogen bonds mediate the characteristic L-shaped molecular structure. tRNAs have two regions of fundamental functional importance: the anti-codon, which is responsible for specific mRNA codon recognition, and the 3' end, to which the tRNAs corresponding amino acid is attached (by aminoacyl-tRNA synthetases). tRNAs cope with the degeneracy of the genetic code in two manners: having more than one tRNA (with a specific anti-codon) for a particular amino acid; and 'wobble' base-pairing, i.e. permitting non-standard base-pairing at the 3rd anti-codon position.
Source: Rfam by way of RNAcentral